Molecule: long non-coding RNA, 602 nt
Filed under: Sorghum bicolor (sorghum)
Lineage: Eukaryota; Viridiplantae; Streptophyta; Magnoliopsida; Poales; Poaceae
Description: long non-coding RNA (SBIC_LNC016796)
Source: RNAcentral
GAUUAUUUCAAGACGAUUCAUUUCAGAAGGUAGAUAGACAUGAUCCGACGAUGCUCCGGAUCAGACGGUUGUGUGUCGGACUGUCAUGUCCUAAUCGAAAAUUACUGCAGAGGCAAUCAUGGCGGCGGGCACUUGGGGUUGCAGGUGACGCAGUUGGCCUGGCACUCUUUCCGUGAGUAGUAGCAGUAAUUUCCAGUCUCGCAACAAUAGCAGUCUCGAUUGCCACACGACCUUAUGGCACACAAUAUCACCUUGAACUUGCUCCCAUCUAGUGCCGUGGAGUUGACGGCCGCGUCCGUAGCGUUAGCGCUUGGGUACCUCCUCAAUAUUGGAAUUCCGAUCUCAUCAAGUAGCCCUCGACGACCUGCAAAUCGAUCAAAUUCAUAGAUAGACAUGGCAUAAAUUAAUGACAUGCAGAGACAAGCAAAGGUUGUAAUCGACACACUUACAUUGUGCAGGUGAAGCAAAUAGCACGACGAACAAGAACACGGCCACUGCCAGGCUGAUGAUGAAGGUCCUGGCCGCCAUAUUGAAUCCGAUCGAUCGAUCGUUUAGAUAGUGAUCGGAGCGACGUAUUACUAGAAUGUUUGUAUGUAUGGUAG